GAAAUGCGAUACUUGGUGUGAAUUGCAGAAUCCCGUGAACCAUCGAGUCUUUGAACGCAAGUUGCGCCCAAAGCCAUUAGGCCGAGGGCACGUCUGCCUGGGCGUCACACGUCGUUGCCCCCCCUCCCCUUCGGGGGAAGGACGGGGCGGAUGAUGGCCCUCCCGUGUGCCCCGUCGCGCGGUUGGCCCAAAUACCAAGUCCUCGGCGACCUGCGCCGCGACAAUCGGUGGUUGUCAAACCUCGGUGUCCUGUCGCGCGCGCGGUUCGAUCGCGGGGCUUCCUUACAUGUUCGCGUCGUUCAUCCGACGUUUUCAACGCGACCCCAGGUCAGGCGGGGUUACCCGCUGAAUUUAA
Molecule: unclassified non-coding RNA, 355 nt
Filed under: uncultured fungus
Lineage: Eukaryota; Fungi
Description: sequence contains ITS1
Rfam family: 5.8S ribosomal RNA (bases 1-107)
Source: RNAcentral